Molecule: RNA transcript, 7809 nt
Organism: Mus musculus (house mouse)
Lineage: Eukaryota; Metazoa; Chordata; Mammalia; Rodentia; Muridae
Gene name: RIKEN cDNA 4930404H24 gene
Exons: 3
Source: RefSeq, a predicted model, not a curated record
CAGGUCAGGCAGGGCUAUACAGAGAAACCCUGUCUCGAAAAACAAACAAACAAACAAAGACACAGUAGAACCUGACUGGGCACCGCUCUUCUUUCCAACCCUUCACCAUCCCUAUCCCUCUGCACUAUCGGGUAUGGAGAGGUGGGGGCCCCUCUUCUUGGUAACUCUGUUUAACCCUAGAUAACUGUUCUCCUGCUCCUCAGCUGGCGCUGAUAUGAGCUGAAUCCAAUUUCCUGCCACCCAAAAGCCACUUCCUGCCAAACUUGAGCUGAUACCAGAAGAACUUGUUUUCUGUACACAGAGCAGUCCCUGGUGGGGCUGCUUCUGCCUCGGCCAGUCCACCUGGUAGGACUGGGUUGUGGAGGAUGGGGCCUCUGCCCUCUCACCUACUGCACCCACCUGUACCGCCAGCCAUCCCAGCCAGGAGUCCCACUGGACUCAGACAGGCAUGUUUAGGCCAUGGCACAUAGCCACAAAGAGCCAGUCUGAGAGCACUGUGUGUGGGCAAGACCACAGGAAAGGCGAGUGACCGUCAACAAAGGAAUACACGCACAGUUCCAUACACCAACCCAUGACCAUACGGAGUCACAGGACAGUCUCAUAUAAUUAAAUGCAGUCACACCCACGGUGCAUAGAACCAGAACCCUUUGCUUCAUACACACGCACCGAAAGCGAGCAUGAGUGUCUGCCUGGGCAGGGCCUUGGGCUAACCCUCGUCAGAACAGCUGGAAUCAUACCAUCAUUGUGCACACAUUACAGAUGUGUAAGCCAAGGCAGCCCAUAGGGGCACCUUCCACACACAUACUGCUUCCUCAGCCUGGGGUGCCUUCUGGCUUAUUCCUUUAGCACUGUCUAGUCACGUGACUCUUCCACAAACUCAGGCAGUCCCUGCUCACUUCCUCAGAGUCUGGGUCAUCUCCCUUUCACUUUAAGGGACAAAGGAGACACAGCAUUUUGUUGGCUUCAGCCAUGUUCUGUUCUGUGGCACAGAGAACAUGCUCAGGAAGAGCCUAGUAAGGACAGACCCUGGACUGGAACCCAGGACACCCUGAGGCUGGAGCUAAUUUCUGUGUUACUGUGCUUUUCAUACUUCCAGAAGCCCCUUUAGCAAUGGUGAUGGAUGAAUGAAUGAAUGAAUGAAUGACCCAAACUCUCAAGAUACCAGGCCAGUGAUCCCCAGGCUAACCUCCUUCAUUUCCUGGCAGUGUGGACAGGAGCCAAGCUCCAGGCCCCUUGGAUAGUGGCAGGGCUGACGGCCGCCUAAAGCCGGCUGUCAGAAGCUUGUCUGGCCAGAGCUGCCAGCAGGGGAGACCAGCUGGCAGUGCAGGGUCCAUCGGCCCAGGCCUGGAAUCUGAGACGCCCUCAGAGGCCCAGCUCUUCUUUGGGCCCCCACAAACUGGCCUUUGUUCUUGGGCUAGCCAAGACCGGCAGCUUGGGCUUUCUCUCUGCCUGCCUGCGGCACCCGCGCUGCGCUGGCGAGGUAAAUGGGCCAGCCUCCCCUCUGUCCACGUCCAGGACGUUGCUUCAGAACUAAAUGGAGAUGUAAUUUUCUAUACAAAUCCAUGACAAUUUAGAUGGAGUGAUUGUAAUUGGCUUUUCAAUGGAGGUUUUGUCCGGCGCUGGUGGCUAGAACUGGGUGGCCUGUUUGAGGCAGGCUCCAUUUAAAUGACAAUAAAGCCAUAAUAUUGAGGACUUGUCCAGCGCCCAGUGCCCCUCCUGAGCCCUUGGGGAGCCUCAUGUUUAUGGAUCUGUCCCUUCCCUAGGGCUGUCUGGGCAGGAGGGUGCUGGGGUCACCGUGGCUAGGAGAGGGGUUGGCUGCAUAUUCGGGACCAUAUCCCCCAACUACCUACCAGUUCCCUCAAUUUGUUAUGAACCCACUAGCCAGUCUGUCCAGGGCUGGAGGCUAGCCCUAGUGUUGGGGUGCUAAUAAUCUCCCAGGUAAGUCAGCUGGAAGGUUCUGCAAUGCCUCAAUAUGUCAUGGUGUGGUACACAUGACCAGGCCCUCUUUGGCCCACAGGCCAAGGCCUGACCCUCUUGUGACUGGCUUCUUGAAUGUCUGUACCUCAGUGUCUCAGCCCUGCGGUAGGGUGCGGUAGACAUCCCAGAGGGGACAGCAUGCACAUGGGCUCAACCUGGCAUGUGAAAGGUACUAUAUAUAAUCAUUGCUGGGACUCACUCACUGUGCCCGCUCAGGCAGACUGGCUAGUGACUUCAGGCUCUGCAAAUUUCCACUGGCUUCUCUUUAACAAAGGGCUUUUCUAGGAGUUGACCCCACCAGGUUCUGAAGAUUAAUGCUAGGGUGUGUUCAAGCACCUAACACAGGCCAGGCUCCAAGAAUGACAGUUCUCCUCACUACAGUUUCCGCCUCCAGCAGCAUCUAUGGAGAACUGCACUUGAGUGUGCAGACCCCACAGCAUGAGAACCAAGCUGACAGGAGCCCCCGUGGGGAUGUCUCUGCUGCCUAAAGAUGCUAUGGGAAGGACUGAUCUCGAGGAGGCUGCACGAAAGAAGGCUUCACAGAGGAUGUGAUAACUGCCUGGACCACUCUGCCAACCAAAAAAGUGUCUACAUUUACCAGGCAGAUGCUGUAACCUGGUUACCAGAAGGAUCUAUUCUCACCUGUCAGUGAGGUGUGGUGGCCACAAAGAUGCCAUUAAAGUGACAUGUUUAAGUCACUCUAGAAGGCAAGCUGCCUAGGCAAAAGGCUGGUAGGUGGGAAGGGAGCUGCCAUCAUUGAUAGCAAUAAGUGGGGUAGCACAGAAGCUGUGCUCAGCGUGUAUGGAGACCCUGACUUCCAGUGUCACAGGCAGCCAUAGAGAAAGUUUAAGCAGGUAGUGACACAAUCCAAAUUCUUAUUAUUUAUCUAUUCAUUCGGGGAGGGUGUCACAUUUUCUGUCAGAGUGACCUAGGACUCACUAUUUAGCCCAGGCUGGUUUGGAACUUGUAGCAGUCCUCCUGCCUCAGCCUCCCAAGUGUUAAGUGUGAGCCAACAGAACCCUUCUGACUGCUCAUAGAGACUGGGCUAUGGAGAAAGGGAUAAGGAAGAGAGCGAGGCUUUAGAACCAUGAGUAGAACCCCGGGAGAAAGGAAGGGCUGGCUCUGAGAAACACAGACAGUGGGUAAGGGAGGGGUAAAUGAGAAGGCAGGAAUGUGGGCUGUGGCAGCAGGUGGGGAUGCCAGCACCAGGAGACGUGUGGCCAUCGAGGUGGGAGCGGAGGCUGCUAGAAUACAAGCAGAGGUGGUGGGAAGGGACAGUGGAAAAGAGGUGAGGGCCAGCCCCCGCAUCCCCACCCCCACCCUUCCCACCCCCAUCCACACCAGGCCGGGACUAGGGCUUUUUUGCCUGAAGGCAAUGGAGCUUGCAUCAACAACAAUUUUCUUCAGGCAGGAAAAGACCAUGCUGAGAUUUGUGAGUUUUGAAAGAUCAUUUUGGCGACAGGGUAGAGGGUGGGAAGUGGCAGGUGGGCGAGGCUGGAAGGAGAGAGCAGACAGAGGCAGAGGGGCACUCAGAAGCCUCAGGAACACCCGGGACACCUUCCAACUCCAAGAGUAAAAAACUGCUUUCUCAAAGAGGACUAAAACUAGUGCAAGUUCAGACAGCAAGUCAACACCCUGGAGUUCACUUGAGCUGUCAGUCCCGGAACUACUAUGUCACCAGGAGGUGGCACUGUGAUCAUUCCCAUUUUCCAGAUGAGGAACCAGGAGCUCUUCAGUUCUGUCACUCGCUCACACAGGGACACUCAGCUGGGACUUGACCCAUACACACCAGAAGCUAACCAGGAGGCCACAGACCCAGUGGGGGCUAUGGACAUGUUUCAGGGACCUGAACCUCCAGGCCCUCAGGCUACUCUGCUGGCUCCCACAACUGCCACCUUGGGACCAAGGCAAAUCUGACAUUCCAACUACCCCACCCUGCUGCACCACAAGAGGAUGUUCGAGCCUGACAUUAUGGAUGCGAUAUGCCACCAAACUGCCUUCUAAACAUGUGUUUAUGCCUACGUCAUCAGCUUCGUGACUGGGUGAAGCAUCUGACAACAUGUGGCUGUUACUGUGGCACUACGGCCCAUCUCUUAGCCCUAAGUGGACACCUAUAGUCAACCCCUCCAAGGCUCAGAAAUCAUUGCAGAAGACAGAGGCAGGAAGAAUAUAAGAGCUGGACAACUCAAAAUUGCUCCAGGAAGUCCCUGAAACUGAGCAGAUGCACUAGGUCCCUCCCUGCCAGAGUAAACAGUGAGCUGAGAGCCCUUCUCUGAUGGAAGGAAGCUGAGCUGCGGAAACCUCCCAGUUGCCUAGAAGAGGUUUAGAUCAACUGAAGCACCUAGAAAGGACACUCUCCAACCUACUGAGUUGUCUGCAGGCUGUGCCCCAGGUUCCCAGCAUUGUGAGCUGUUACCCAUGCUAGGGUUGGUUUUGGUGAUGCAGCUGUCUGAGUCCUUUCUGCUCCUGUGAGUAACUCACCCAUGUUACUGUACCACAAUUCCAAUAAAACUCAUUGGUUCACCAAAGGGACUUUGGUGGUACCUGUACUUGGGUCUACCAUGGGUUCCCUGUCGGGGUGAAUAGAUUAGAUGUGUGUGUUACAUCUCUUCCAGAAAACGUUUGUCACACAUAUCACUGUGUCUGAACAAAGCUAUCCCUCUGCAGACCAUUCAAAUGUCCAUUUCCCUGGAAGGCAACACACACACACACACACACACACACACACACACACACACACAUGCGCAUGUCUCUCUCUCAUACAUUCUCUCAUACUCGGCCCCCAUGUUUUCCCUUUUAUUCCCCUUGGUGCUUUUCCAACAGGGACAGUGAGGGGGUCAGUGCUCCUCAUAACCCAGAGAGCAGCACUCACAUGAGGAGGCUGAGGCACCGAGAAGGGAGACACUGACUGAGCCACAGCUGAACACAGUCUUGCCUGACUUGAAGUUAUACUUCUAGGCUGGAGUAUGGCUCAAUUGUAGAGCACAAUUUGUGUGCUCACAUAAGUGUGAUCUCCAACUCCCAGGCACAUCUCCCUUGUGGGAGUUAGUUCAGAAGUGGCCAAGGCCCUCUGAAGACACAGAGACUGAAUGGAGGUGGUCAAAAGUCAAGAGCCCACAGACCAUGUGACCUUGUAAGGUAUGGAUUUUCACUCUGGCUUUCAGGAUCAUUGUUCAGGGUCCAGGUACAUGUAUGCAUGUUUGAUACAAGCCAGCCAGUGCAGUCAGUGAUGGCUUACAUCUUAGACAGGUGGUUGGUGGUGACAGUUGGUGCCUCAUGUCAGUAGAGGGAAACAUGGCAUCAUGUCCAAAGGCAGACACUCUUAGAUGGAGUAGUUCUACCUCUCAGUAAGCGCACUAGUGUGGAGUGGACAUCUAUAUUCACAGACGUCCACUGAAGUCAUGUGAAAGCAAAGUACUGGAAGGAUUUGGAAUGUCUAUCAAUGGAAAAUGGGGUAAAUAAAUUAUAGUAUGUCCAUAAAGUUGAAUAUUAUGCAGCUAUAAAAAAGAAUGAGACCGUCCUUUUAUGCUCUUACUUGCUCUUGUGCCAACAGUGCACAGAUUUACUGCUUAGGAGAAAAGACAACCAGAAGAAUGCAGAGACUAAAACUCUUAGAAGAAAACAGGAAUGAAUCUUUGUGAUUAGGCAAUGGUUCUUGGAUGUGACACAAGAGUAAAAACAACAGGAAAAAUCAGACAAAUUGGACCUAAUUAAAAUCUGAAAUAUUUGUGCCUCAGUGGACACUGUCAAGAAAUUAAAGGCAGGACACAGGAGGUUGAGUCAUGGGACUCACAAGUCCAAGGUUAGCCUGCAUGGUGUGUGUGUUGACUCUGCUGAGACAAAGACACAGACACAUACAUACAUACAGACAGACACACAGAGACACAGACACACACACACACACACACACACACACACACAGACACAUACACAGGCAUACAGACAGACAGACAGACACACACACACAGAGAGAGAGAGAGAGAGAGAGAGAGAGAGAGCGCAGGAUGACUCAGGUGGUAAAGACACCUGCUCCCCAGGUGUCUUUACCACCUGAGUCAGGUGUGGCCUGAGUUGAAUCCCCAGAACCCACAUGAGAACCAACUCCCACAAGUUAUCCUCAUGUUCCCAUCCACACCUACACAAAAUAAAUGAAUGUUAAAAAAAUUUUUUUAAACCUGCCUGAGAAACUUACUGAGAUCCUGUCUUUAAAAAAGGUGGGGGGAAAGGAGGCCAGGAGGUGAUGACACACGCUUUUGAUCCCAGCAUUUGGAGGCAGAGGCUGGUGGAUUUCUGUGAGUUUAAAGCAAGCCUAAUCUACAGAGCAAGUUCCAGGACAGCCAGGGCCACACAGAAAAACCUUGUCUCAAAAAGGAAGUUAAAAUUCCACCAGGAUGAACCUCUAUGUCUCAGUGGUAGAAUGCUUGCCUAUCAUGUACAAGGCCCUAGUUCAACCCACAGCACUGAAAAUAGAAAAACAGGGAGAAAGAGAAAAAGACAGGAAGGACUGGACAACUCACAAACUGGAAGAAAAAUUCACAAAUAGUUUAUCUGAGAGGGACGUGUAUCUAGAAUGGGUGAAUGCUCUCACAAUUCACCAGUAGAUGACACAAUUUUCUUCGUUUUGUUUUAAUGAGCAGAAGAUAUGAGCAGACCUUCCUCUAAAUCAAGCAUACAAAUGACCAAAAGACUGUCAGCAUCACCAGCUACCAGGGCAGGGCACAUCAAACCCACAGUGAGAUGCCUCACACUUCGAGGAUGGUCUAAUCCAAACAGUGGGGAAUAACAAGUGUGGUCCAGGAUGCUGAGCAAUUCCAGCCCUUCCAUGGCUGUGAUGCUAAGAGAAUGAGAAGGUCAAGUCUUUGGAUGCUUGAACAUAGGUCAGCCGUGGGACCUUAGCAAGUCUAUUCAGAGAACUGCACACUAGAAUGCACAAGACUGUUCACAGCCAUAUGGCUUAUGACAAGCAAAAUAUGAGAAUAGCUUGUGUCCACCAACGGUUAAAUAAAAUAUGGUAUGCCUAUAAAAUGACAUAUUACUUGGCAAUAGAAAGGACUCUGUAACAUAAAGAACCCUAAAAACACAAUAGAAAGAAGACUGUCACAAAAGAACAUCUACAGCGUGACAAGGGAGGUCCUCAGGGACAGGAAACAGAUUAAUGGCUGACAGACUGCAGGAGGGGCCCAAGAACAGCAAGUGGUUGCCCUAGGGGUGUAGGAGUGUUUCUGAAGUGGUGAAGGUGUGCUAAAAGUUGGUUGUGAUGUGACUCAGAAUAGUAAACACCACUCACGUGCACUUGAAAUGGGCGAACUGUCUAGCAUGGCACAUAUAUAGACAACAUAGUUUGUGUAAAAAAUAAACCAGAAAUGUCAAGAUGACUUAGUAGGUAUAGGUACUUACAACCAAGCCUGAAGACCUGCGUUUCAGCCCACAUGGUUCAGAGAGAACGAACUCCCUCAAGUUGUCUUCUGGCUUCCACAGGCAUACACAAUGGCACACGUGUCCACACACAUAUACACACACGAGCACUAAAUAAAUAGAUGCAGCUUUUUAAAUAGUAAGAAAAAAAGAGAAGAACCAAACCUAGAAACAUCCUUGCCUGUGUAUGCAUAUAUGUAUGUAUGUAUAUAUGUAUGUAUGUAUGUAUGUAUGCAUGCAUGCACGCAUGAAUCAUCUCUACAGGGACCAAGAUGGCCUUGGGGGCCCUGGGGAAGAACAGGAGCAGGAGCAGGAGGUGACCUUGUUUGUCACUGUAUCUGAAUUGGAUUUGUGAGAUAAAGAAAUUCUAGUACAUUUGGAAAUGUUACUCUUUGGAGAAAAAAAAAAAAAAAAAAA